AUCUAUGGCCAUACCACCCUGAACACGCCCGAUCUCGUCUGAUCUCGGAAGCUAAGCAGGGUCGGGGCCUGGUUAGUAAUUGAGGGAGACCUCCCUGGAUUACCGGGUGCUGUAGGCU
Molecule: ribosomal RNA, 118 nt
Filed under: Chelonoidis abingdonii (Abingdon island giant tortoise)
Lineage: Eukaryota; Metazoa; Chordata; Testudines; Testudinidae
Source: RNAcentral